UCUUCCCGGACCGGGGCACAAACCCGUGUGCCCUGCAUCGGCAGGCUGACUCUCAACCGCUGCGCCACCAGGGAAUCCCUAUACAACUUAUUUUACAAACUGAAAUAGUACUUGUUGCAUUUAAAGUUUGCUUUUGUCCUGUCUCUUCACGCGCUGUGUGAGCUGGUGCUGGUGAGUGGAGGUCCGCAUGUCCAGACUGGCAGCUUCUCUGCACGUGACACCUUAGCCUCCACGCCCUCCCCCCUCCUGCCCCACCGCCAUCAUUAUGCUACAAACAAGGAUCCAAAUUUACUGUAAAUAAGAUGCUGACGUCUAUCAGGAAUUUUUUUCCAGGUGACCUUAUUUGGGAGAAAAAGGAAUAUUUGUUAAAAGGGAAAAAAUGCAGUGGAACAGGAAGGAAAGGGAGGGAUAGUGUUUUGCUACUCUAGAGUAACUGAUGGAGGAUUCCUUUGGUGGGAGGAGUGGCAGGGGAAUUUUUACUGUUGUUUUCCGUCCUGUGGAUUUAAAUAAUUACCUUUCAUUAAAACCAUUUAAAGCUCUG
Molecule: long non-coding RNA, 541 nt
Organism: Aethalodelphis obliquidens (Pacific white-sided dolphin)
Lineage: Eukaryota; Metazoa; Chordata; Mammalia; Artiodactyla; Delphinidae
Exons: 2
Source: RefSeq, a predicted model, not a curated record